This 396-nucleotide ribosomal RNA is filed under the name uncultured bacterium. RNAcentral describes it as "partial 16S ribosomal RNA". It matches the Rfam family "Bacterial small subunit ribosomal RNA", at positions 523 to 918 of the family's 1533-position model. The record is from RNAcentral.
AUACGUAGGUGGCAAGCGUUGUCCGGAUUUACUGGGUGUAAAGGGCGUGUAGGCGGAGAUGCAAGUCAGGAGUGAAAUCUAGGGGCUCAACCCCUAAACUGCUUUUGAAACUGUAUCCCUUGAGUAUCGGAGAGGCAGGCGGAAUUCCUAGUGUAGCGGUGAAAUGCGUAGAUAUUAGGAGGAACACCAGUGGCGAAGGCGGCCUGCUGGACGACAACGGGCGCUGAGGCGCGAAAGCGUGGGGAGCAAACAGGAUGAGAUACCCUGGUAGUCCGCGCUGAAAACGAUGAAAACAGGUUGUGGGGGGACUGACCCCCUCCGUGCCGGAAUUAACACAAUAAGUAUUCCACCUGGGGAGUACGAUCGCAAGAUUGAAACUCAAAUGAAUUGACGGGG